This 533-nucleotide ribosomal RNA is filed under the name Listeria monocytogenes. Its description in RNAcentral is "bacterial SSU rRNA". It matches the Rfam family "Bacterial small subunit ribosomal RNA", at positions 1007 to 1533 of the family's 1533-position model. The record is from RNAcentral. Lineage: Bacteria; Bacillati; Bacillota; Bacilli; Caryophanales; Listeriaceae.
CAGAGCUUUCCCUUCGGGGACAAAGUGACAGGUGGUGCAUGGUUGUCGUCAGCUCGUGUCGUGAGAUGUUGGGUUAAGUCCCGCAACGAGCGCAACCCUUGAUUUUAGUUGCCAGCAUUUAGUUGGGCACUCUAAAGUGACUGCCGGUGCAAGCCGGAGGAAGGUGGGGAUGACGUCAAAUCAUCAUGCCCCUUAUGACCUGGGCUACACACGUGCUACAAUGGAUAGUACAAAGGGUCGCGAAGCCGCGAGGUGGAGCUAAUCCCAUAAAACUAUUCUCAGUUCGGAUUGUAGGCUGCAACUCGCCUACAUGAAGCCGGAAUCGCUAGUAAUCGUGGAUCAGCAUGCCACGGUGAAUACGUUCCCGGGCCUUGUACACACCGCCCGUCACACCACGAGAGUUUGUAACACCCGAAGUCGGUAGGGUAACCUUUAUGGAGCCAGCCGCCGAAGGUGGGACAGAUAAUUGGGGUGAAGUCGUAACAAGGUAGCCGUAUCGGAAGGUGCGGCUGGAUCACCUCCUUUCUAAGGAA